Molecule: ribosomal RNA, 437 nt
Rfam family: Bacterial small subunit ribosomal RNA
ACGGGAGGCAGCAGUGGGGGAUAUUGCACAAUGGGGGAAACCCUGAUGCAGCAACGCCGCGUGAAGGAAGAAGGUCUUCGGAUUGUAAACUUUUGUCUUAUGGGAAGAAGAAAGUGACGGUACCAUAGGAGGAAGCCACGGCUAACUACGUGCCAGCAGCCGCGGUAAUACGUAGGUGGCAAGCGUUGUCCGGAUUUACUGGGUGUAAAGGGCGUGUAGACGGGAUUGCAAGUCAGAUGUGAAAUUUAUGGGCUUAACCCAUAACCUGCAUUUGAAACUGUAGUUCUUGAGUAAUGGAGAGGUAAGCGGAAUUCCUAGUGUAGCGGUGAAAUGCGUAGAUAUUAGGAGGAACACCGGUGGCGAAGGCGGCUUACUGGACAUUUACUGACGUUGAGGCGCGAAAGUGUGGGGAGCAAACAGGAUUAGAUACCCUGGUA